GAAAUUGAACUCGCUGUGAAGAUGCAGUGUACCCGCGGCAAGACGGAAAGACCCCGUGAACCUUUACUAUAGCUUGACACUGAACAUUGAGCCUUGAUGUGUAGGAUAGGUGGGAGGCUUUGAAGUGUGGACGCCAGUCUGCAUGGAGCCGACCUUGAAAUACCACCCUUUAAUGUUUGAUGUUCUAACGUUGACCCGUAAUCCGGGUUGCGGACAGUGUCUGGUGGGUAGUUUGACUGGGGCGGUCUCCUCCUAAAGAGUAACGGAGGAGCACGAAGGUUGGCUAAUCCUGGUCGGACAUCAGGAGGUUAGUGCAAUGGCAUAAGCCAGCUUGACUGCGAGCGUGACGGCGCGAGCAGGUGCGAAAGCAGGUCAUAGUGAUCCGGUGGUUCUGAAUGGAAGGGCCAUCGCUCAACGGAUAAAAGGUACUCCGGGGAUAACAGGCUGAUACCGCCCAAGAGUUCAUAUCGACGGCGGUGUUUGGCACCUCGAUGUCGGCUCAUCACAUCCUGGGGCUGAAGUAGGUCCCAAGGGUAUGGCUGUUCGCCAUUUAAAGUGGUACGCGAGCUGGGUUUAGAACGUCGUGAGACAGUUCGGUCCCUAUCUGCCGUGGGCGCUGGAGAACUGAGGGGGGCUGCUCCUAGUACGAGAGGACCGGAGUGGACGCAUCACUGGUGUUCGGGUUGUCAUGCCAAUGGCACUGCCCGGUAGCUAAAUGCGGAAGAGAUAAGUGCUGAAAGCAUCUAAGCACGAAACUUGCCCCGAGAUGAGUUCUCCCUGACUCCUUGAGAGUCCUGAAGGAACGUUGAAGACGACGACGUUGAUAGGCCGGGUGUGUAAGCGCAGCGAUGCGUUGAGCUAACCGGUACUAAUGAACCGUGAGG
This 884-nucleotide ribosomal RNA is filed under the name Escherichia coli. RNAcentral's name for it is "partial 23S ribosomal RNA". It matches the Rfam family "Bacterial large subunit ribosomal RNA", at positions 2038 to 2916 of the family's 2925-position model. Lineage: Bacteria; Pseudomonadati; Pseudomonadota; Gammaproteobacteria; Enterobacterales; Enterobacteriaceae. The record is from RNAcentral.